RNAcentral lists this small RNA (544 nucleotides) under Pongo abelii (Sumatran orangutan). Its description in RNAcentral is "retained intron". The record is from RNAcentral. Lineage: Eukaryota; Metazoa; Chordata; Mammalia; Primates; Hominidae.
AUCAGAGCAGAGUCUCCUUGCUCUGGGCUGCUCCAGGCCAGGCCAUGCGGGCGAAAACAGAAGAGCAGAUUGCAGCGGAGGAGGCCUGGAAUGAGACGGAGAAAGUGUGGCUGGUCCAUAGGGACGGCUUCUCACUGGCCAGUCAACUCAAAUCUGAGGAGCUCAACUUGCCUGAGGGGAAGGUGCGUGUGAAGCUGGACCACGAUGGGGCCAUCCUGGAUGUGGACGAGGAUGACGUGGAGAAGGUGGGCAGGGGGCUGGGUGGGGGGAGGAGGCUCAGGAGUGCACUGGGCAGGGCAGGCCCGUCCUCUGGCAGCGGAGAUGGGCUCUGCUGCUUCAAUGCCCACCCACCUGUCCUCCCACACAGGCUAAUGCUCCCUCCUGCGACCGUCUGGAGGAUCUGGCCUCACUGGUGUACCUCAAUGAGUCCAGCGUCCUGCACACCUUGCGCCAGCGCUAUGGCGCUAGCCUGCUGCACACGUAUGCUGGCCCCAGCCUGUUGGUUCUUGGCCCCCGUGGGGCCCCUGCUGUGUACUCUGAGAAG